This 540-nucleotide ribosomal RNA is filed under the name Triticum aestivum (bread wheat). Its description in RNAcentral is "partial small subunit ribosomal RNA". Lineage: Eukaryota; Viridiplantae; Streptophyta; Magnoliopsida; Poales; Poaceae. The record is from RNAcentral.
AUGAAACCCAAGAUAGCGGAUUUUGGUAUGGCCAGAAUCUUUGGUGACAACCAGCAAAACGCAAAUACCCAACGCGUAGUUGGAACAUAUGGGUACAUGGCUCCUGAGUAUGCAAUGGAAGGCGUAUUCUCUACCAAGUCUGACGUCUACAGUUUUGGUGUGCUGCUACUUGAGGUUGUAACUGGUAUUAAGAGAAACUCCAAUAGUCAAACCAUGGGAUUCCCUAGCCUCAUAAUAUAUUCAUGGCAUAUGUGGAAGGAAGAGAAGACCGAUGAACUGCCAGACUCAUGUAUCAUAGAUACUUCACCAGACGAAGUUUUGCUUUGCGUCCAGGUAGCACUCUUGUGUGUCCAGGAGAACCCAGAUGAUAGACCGCUCAUGUCAUCUAUUGUGUUCGUCCUAGAGAAUGGAAGCACCACACUUGCAGCUCCAAGCCGGCCCGCCUACUUUGCACGACGAAUAGCUGAAAUGGAUCAAAUGGGAAAUAAUAUGCAGACUUCCGCAAACAGUCUUACUCUUUCUGAGAUAGAGGGGCGAUGA